UGUCAUUUUUUCCAUGAGGUC
Molecule: non-coding RNA, 21 nt
Filed under: Caenorhabditis elegans
Lineage: Eukaryota; Metazoa; Nematoda; Chromadorea; Rhabditida; Rhabditidae
Source: RNAcentral